Molecule: ribosomal RNA, 421 nt
Filed under: uncultured archaeon
Lineage: Archaea
Description: partial 16S ribosomal RNA
Rfam family: Archaeal small subunit ribosomal RNA
Source: RNAcentral
CUACGGGUUGCUGCAGCUGAGGAAAUUCUACAAUGCUCGCAAGAGUGAUAGAAUGAACCAGAGUGUUUCUCCUAGAGAAACUUUUGUCUAGUGCAAAAAGCUAGAUGAAUAAGGACUGGGCAAGACCGGUGCCAGCCGCCGCGGUAAUACCGGCGGUCCAAGUCGCAUCCAUUUUUAUUGGGUCUAAAACAUCCGUAGCUUGCUUUGCAAGUCUCUUGUGAAAUCCCAUAUCUCAAGUAUGGGGCGUGCAAGAGAUACUGCAAGAGCUAGAGACCGGAAGACGCAAGGAGUACGAUCAAGGUAACGGUAAAAUGUGUUAAUCUUGGUCGGACUAACAAUGGCGAAGGCACUUUGCGAGUACGGAUCUGACAGUAAGGGAUGAAGGCUAGGGGCGCAAAAGGGAUUAGAUACCCUGGUAGUC